This is a non-coding RNA of Pantherophis guttatus, 851 nucleotides long. NCBI's taxonomy places the organism in Eukaryota, Metazoa, Chordata, Lepidosauria, Squamata, Colubridae. The record is from RefSeq and is a predicted model, not a curated record.
AAUUUCAGCAAUCCUCUGAUAACCUGGGUUGCAAAAAUAAAAAUUCAUCAGAGUUUAUCUAUGAAAACUGAUACUUGAAAGAUGGUAUGACUGCCUUUAGAUUUACUAAAUUCAAUCAUUUUGUUCAAUGUAUUUGACACAGAUGUAUCUUCAAAAAUGGAUUUUGUUCCAACUAUAUUGCAAAGUUUUUUUUCAUUUUACAUUUUUAAACAAGAGGUAACAAAUUAAUGAAUUAUUGGAUUCACUCAUUACAUUAAACCAUCCUAGGUUAACGAUGAUUUCUUGAAUUUAAGGAUAACUGACUGGAUUUAUACAACAAAUGCAGACAAACACAUCAGUUUAGGGCUCAGUCAGACAUAAUACCUGCAUGUAACAUUUUAAAAAAUAAAAUGCCUACAUUUUCUCUACAACAGGGGUCCCCUUUUGACUGUUAGGAACCAGACCGAACAGCUGGACAUUAGCAGUAGGCAAGUGAUGUCCCCAUAUAGCAAUUCUGCAAGUCAUCUGAACUUCACAGUACACCUCUUUAAGGUUUUGUAGAAGCAUAUUUAUUCAAGCACCUGAUUUUCUAAGACCAGUACCAAUGUCCACAUGGAAUCUUCUUGCAAUGCUCUUGGUCCUCCCAGGAGUAUAUUAACUCCAAGAGCUCAUUCCAGUUACAGCAUCUUUAUCUCCCUGGUUGGUGAUAACAAUUGGGUGGUGAUGAUAACUGUAACCAUUGGUUAAAAAAAAAAAAACACAGAUGCAAACCUUGGUCCUUCCUAACUGUGAUGAAGAAAUCUACCUACCUUCCCAGUAUCUCAAGUAGCUCAGCAACACCAUUGAAAUGUUCCGUUUCAUAUAUAAACCUG